AGGUCUGUCGCCAAGCGGUAAGGCAACGGGUUUUGAUCCCGUCAUCCCAUGGUUCGAAUACAUGUAGACCUGCCA
This 75-nucleotide transfer RNA is filed under the name Vibrio mimicus SX-4. RNAcentral's name for it is "tRNA-Gln". It matches the Rfam family "tRNA". Rfam says of the family: Transfer RNA (tRNA) molecules are approximately 80 nucleotides in length. Their secondary structure includes four short double-helical elements and three loops (D, anti-codon, and T loops). Lineage: Bacteria; Pseudomonadati; Pseudomonadota; Gammaproteobacteria; Vibrionales; Vibrionaceae. The record is from RNAcentral.